This 505-nucleotide ribosomal RNA is filed under the name Austroearinus sp. H7620. Its description in RNAcentral is "eukaryotic LSU rRNA". It matches the Rfam family "Eukaryotic large subunit ribosomal RNA", at positions 386 to 736 of the family's 3401-position model. Lineage: Eukaryota; Metazoa; Arthropoda; Insecta; Hymenoptera; Braconidae. The record is from RNAcentral.
CCUGAGAAACCUAAAAGUUCGAAAAGAGAGAUUCAAUGCCAGUUUGUAUUGUAUUCACGUGAGUAGAGAUGUGUGCACUUUUUCAUGUUUUUUUAUUGCAAUACUAUAGCCGGCGUGCACUUCUUUCUUAGUAGAACGUCCCGACCCGUUGAGCCUUGGCCUACGGCACAGACUUUGAUACGCAAGUAUGAAAGACCUCUGAUAUGAAAGACCUCUGAUGUACUCCUGGCUAAAGUGCUCGACGGGGUAUUAAGCCGCAAAUUAAUUUUUGUGCGUCUGUGCGUCUGACCUGUCGCAACAUUAGUGACAUUCUGUAUAUUAUAGACUUUGUGCUAUAAUUAUGGGCAGUGUUCUUAGACUGGCUUUUAUAUACCUGUCGGGGACGCUUAGGCUUUGGGUACUCUCAGGACCCGUCUUGAAACACGGACCAAGGAGUCUAACAUGUACGCGAGUCAUUGGGUAUAUAUUUUUCAAACCUAAAGGCGAAAUGAAAGUAAAAGUCGAA